CCAGACCGCCAGCUAAGGUCCCAAAGUCAUGGUUAAGUGGGAAACGAUGUGGGAAGGCCCAGACAGCCAGGAUGUUGGCUUAGAAGCAGCCAUCAUUUAAAGAAAGCGUAAUAGCUCACUGGUCGAGUCGGCCUGCGCGGAAGAUGUAACGGGGCUAAACCAUGCACCGAAGCUGCGGCAGCGACGCUUAUGCGUUGUUGGGUAGGGGAGCGUUCUGUAAGCCUGUGAAGGUGUGCUGUGAGGCAUGCUGGAGGUAUCAGAAGUGCGAAUGCUGACAUAAGUAACGAUAAAGCGGGUGAAAAGCCCGCUCGCCGGAAGACCAAGGGUUCCUGUCCAACGUUAAUCGGGGCAGGGUGAGUCGACCCCUAAGGCGAGGCCGAAAGGCGUAGUCGAUGGGAAACAGGUUAAUAUUCCUGUACUUGGUGUUACUGCGAAGGGGGGACGGAGAAGGCUAUGUUGGCCGGGCGACGGUUGUCCCGGUUUAAGCGUGUAGGCUGGUUUUCCAGGCAAAUCCGGAAAAUCAAGGCUGAGGCGUGAUGACGAGGCACUACGGUGCUGAAGCAACAAAUGCCCUGCUUCCAGGAAAAGCCUCUAAGCAUCAGGUAACAUCAAAUCGUACCCCAAACCGACACAGGUGGUCAGGUAGAGAAUACCAAGGCGCUUGAGAGAACUCGGGUGAAGGAACUAGGCAAAAUGGUGCCGUAACUUCGGGAGAAGGCACGCUGAUAUGUAGGUGAAGCGACUUGCUCGUGGAGCUGAAAUCAGUCGAAGAUACCAGCUGGCUGCAACUGUUUAUUAAAAACACAGCACUGUGCAAACACGAAAGUGGACGUAUACGGUGUGACGCCUGCCCGGUGCCGGAAGGUUAAUUGAUGGGGUCAGCGCAAGCGAAGCUCUUGAUCGAAGCCCCGGUAAACGGCGGCCGUAACUAUAACGGUCCUAAGGUAGCGAAAUUCCUUGUCGGGUAAGUUCCGACCUGCACGAAUGGCGUAAUGAUGGCCAGGCUGUCUCCACCCGAGACUCAGUGAAAUUGAACUCGCUGUGAAGAUGCAGUGUACCCGCGGCAAGACGGAAAGACCCCGUGAACCUUUACUAUAGCUUGACACUGAACAUUGAGCCUUGAUGUGUAGGAUAGGUGGGAGGCUUAGAAGUGUGGACGCCAGUCUGCAUGGAGCCGACCUUGAAAUACCACCCUUUAAUGUUUGAUGUUCUAACGUUGACCCGUAAUCCGGGUUGCGGACAGUGUCUGGUGGGUAGUUUGACUGGGGCGGUCUCCUCCUAAAGAGUAACGGAGGAGCACGAAGGUUGGCUAAUCCUGGUCGGACAUCAGGAGGUUAGUGCAAUGGCAUAAGCCAGCUUGACUGCGAGCGUGACGGCGCGAGCAGGUGCGAAAGCAGGUCAUAGUGAUCCGGUGGUUCUGAAUGGAAGGGCCAUCGCUCAACGGAUAAAAGGUACUCCGGGGAUAACAGGCUGAUACCGCCCAAGAGUUCAUAUCGACGGCGGUGUUUGGCACCUCGAUGUCGGCUCAUCACAUCCUGGGGCUGAAGUAGGUCCCAAGGGUAUGGCUGUUCGCCAUUUAAAGUGGUACGCGAGCUGGGUUUAGAACGUCGUGAGACAGUUCGGUCCCUAUCUGCCGUGGGCGCUGGAGAACUGAGGGGGGCUGCUCCUAGUACGAGAGGACCGGAGUGGACGCAUCACUGGUGUUCGGGUUGUCAUGCCAAUGGCACUGCCCGGUAGCUAAAUGCGGAAGAGAUAAGUGCUGAAAGCAUCUAAGCACGAAACUUGCC
This 1787-nucleotide ribosomal RNA is filed under the name Escherichia coli. RNAcentral's name for it is "partial 23S ribosomal RNA". It matches the Rfam family "Bacterial large subunit ribosomal RNA", at positions 1027 to 2798 of the family's 2925-position model. The record is from RNAcentral. Lineage: Bacteria; Pseudomonadati; Pseudomonadota; Gammaproteobacteria; Enterobacterales; Enterobacteriaceae.